Molecule: ribosomal RNA, 1463 nt
Filed under: Halomonas sp. IB-NN3-2c
Lineage: Bacteria; Pseudomonadati; Pseudomonadota; Gammaproteobacteria; Oceanospirillales; Halomonadaceae
Description: bacterial SSU rRNA
Rfam family: Bacterial small subunit ribosomal RNA
Source: RNAcentral
UUAGAACGCUGGCGGCAGGCCUAACACAUGCAAGUCGAGCGGCAGCACGGGAAGCUUGCUUCCUGGUGGCGAGCGGCGGACGGGUGAGUAAUGCAUAGAAAUCUGCCCGGUAGUGGGGGAUAACCUGGGGAAACCCAGGCUAAUACCGCAUACGUCCUACGGGAGAAAGCAGGGGAUCUUCGGACCUUGCGCUAUCGGAUGAGUCUAUGUCGGAUUAGCUUGUUGGUGAGGUAAUGGCUCACCAAGGCGACGAUCCGUAGCUGGUCUGAGAGGAUGAUCAGCCACAUCGGGACUGAGACACGGCCCGAACUCCUACGGGAGGCAGCAGUGGGGAAUAUUGGACAAUGGGCGAAAGCCUGAUCCAGCCAUGCCGCGUGUGUGAAGAAGGCCUUCGGGUUGUAAAGCACUUUCAGUGGGGAAGAAAGCCUUGGGGCUAAUACCCUCGAGGAAGGACAUCACCCACAGAAGAAGCACCGGCUAACUCCGUGCCAGCAGCCGCGGUAAUACGGAGGGUGCGAGCGUUAAUCGGAAUUACUGGGCGUAAAGCGCGCGUAGGCGGUCUGAUAAGCCGGUUGUGAAAGCCCCGGGCUCAACCUGGGAACGGCAUCCGGAACUGUCAGGCUAGAGUGCAGGAGAGGAAGGUAGAAUUCCCGGUGUAGCGGUGAAAUGCGUAGAGAUCGGGAGGAAUACCAGUGGCGAAGGCGGCCUUCUGGACUGACACUGACGCUGAGGUGCGAAAGCGUGGGUAGCAAACAGGAUUAGAUACCCUGGUAGUCCACGCCGUAAACGAUGUCGACUAGCCGUUGGGCUCCUUGAGAGCUUUGUGGCGCAGUUAACGCGAUAAGUCGACCGCCUGGGGAGUACGGCCGCAAGGUUAAAACUCAAAUGAAUUGACGGGGGCCCGCACAAGCGGUGGAGCAUGUGGUUUAAUUCGAUGCAACGCGAAGAACCUUACCUACCCUUGACAUCGUGCGAACUUUCCAGAGAUGGAUUGGUGCCUUCGGGAACGCACAGACAGGUGCUGCAUGGCUGUCGUCAGCUCGUGUUGUGAAAUGUUGGGUUAAGUCCCGUAACGAGCGCAACCCUUGUCCUUAUUUGCCAGCGAGUAAUGUCGGGAACUCUAAGGAGACUGCCGGUGACAAACCGGAGGAAGGUGGGGACGACGUCAAGUCAUCAUGGCCCUUACGGGUAGGGCUACACACGUGCUACAAUGGCCGGUACAAAGGGUUGCGAAGCCGCGAGGUGGAGCUAAUCCCGAAAAGCUGGUCUCAGUCCGGAUCGGAGUCUGCAACUCGACUCCGUGAAGUCGGAAUCGCUAGUAAUCGUGAAUCAGAAUGUCACGGUGAAUACGUUCCCGGGCCUUGUACACACCGCCCGUCACACCAUGGGAGUGGACUGCACCAGAAGUGGUUAGCCUAACUUCGGAGGGCGAUCACCACGGUGUGGUUCAUGACUGGGGUGAA